GGCUUAAAAGAAGAACGAAAGUGAUAUAAGUGUUCAAACAAAAAUUUUUGAUUACAGAUAAAUUAUUUUAUUUAUUGUCAUGAACAGUCGUCGAUUUUUGUUGUUCAUAAAAAUUCGCUUGAUCGGCUAAGCAUCGACACUUAGUAACAACUUUUGGCUGAUGAGCCAUCGACUAUCGCUUUUGACAAUUUGAUAAAUUUUUUACUGCGCUUGUGCACUGAAAUCACAUCAACUGAUUCUUAACCUUAAAGUUUUACAAUAAAUAAUCACUCUGGAGCCAACUGUGAAAACUUCACUGUGAAGUUAAAAAAGUAAGAUGUAUGUUGGGGAUUAAUUAUGUUUCUUAUCGGAAUGCUAAUUUAUUCAAAAUAAUUCAUAUAAUUGACUUUGACCUCUAGUUUAGUUUGUUUCACGAGCGCAACGAGUAUAACAAAAUAGGAAAGUUCAAAAAACGUGUAGAACUCGGUCAUGUAAAACAAUUUUCAGAUUGAAUAGUGUGAAUUAUAUAUCUUUUCUAUGUCCCGCCCUUAUUUACCACUGAAAUAUGAGCUUUCUUAUCACGAGUUUUGAAAAUUAUCAAUUGCGUAAUCUUUCAUUUAAUGAAGAUCUAACUACAUAUAUUAUAAUUUGCAGCACGUUUUAUUUAGAUAAUGUAUUCUAAUAACAAACGCAAGUUAGUGUGAUGAAGGGUGUCAUUCACUUUGAGUGGGUUUAAGCUGAGGUAUUGCAUAGAUCAAUGAGCCGCCGGGUAGAGUGGUGAGUGACAAGAUUUCUCAACGAUGAGUUUGUUAUUUUAUUAUGUUUCAAGUAGAGAUUGCAUUUAUUGGUUUUAAACUCUGCUCAAAUAAAAACAGUAGCAGUAGAUGUCGGCAACCACGCCUUAACAAUCCUUUGAAUUAUCUCCGUCUUUCUUGACUAAUUAACUACGCAUGGCAGUCACCAAAACAUAACUUUAAAAAUAUAACUUAUACAUCAAAUUCAAAGGAAUCUAAAACGCCGAGAAAAUAUGUAUGAAGAAUAACAAAAUUGUCAAGAUAAAUAACUACGACGUCAUAUUUUUUGUGAUCAAAUUUCGUGUUUGCUGUAUGCAAUAUAAAAAGAAGAUAAUUUAAUUUGUUAGAACUAAAAUUUUGUUAAGAAGGAAGAUACUCGUAAGAGAGGGGCGGUGCCGCGCAUCGCGAUGGCGUCUACUUCGAUUUGGUGUCACAUUUCCUAGAGGACGCCAUUUUCUCUCCUCCAACGCUUCCACCCGCUAUCUCAUACGAUGAUGCACCCUCUUACUUCUUGUACGUGUCUAAAGAGAAUUUGGCUCCAAAGUCUUAUCAAAAGGAUCCAGAGAUUCCAUUCCUGGUCUCCAUUGUCUCAAACAGAUAUGCUGUCGAAUCUUUCAAAAAAAAAAAUUCUUCUGCUUCUAUUUUAUUAAUCUAAUACUCGUUUUUAAAGAAGCAAAAAAUAUACUGCUAAGUCAUCAUUACUAUAUGUAUAAAAAUCGAUCAUUAAGAUUGCUAUAGAGAGAUGAAAACAAAAAACUACAAUAGAGAUCAAGAGAACAAACAUCACAAGCGACAAACAAAACUUCAAUCAUUGGAAUUCCCUGGGGAAAAUUUAUCGAGGGCGACGUAGAGAUAUGUAGAGAGGUGUAAAGCACUACCUAACACUUGAUGGAACGAAAGGUUUCAUGUUUCAUUGCUGCUGUACGUUUAAUUGCAUUCCAAAUUAGUUGUGUGAAAAAUAUCUACUUUGAUAAUCAAAACAGGUAUAGUGAUACUUUUUGUACUAUAAUAUUAUUUACUCAGUCUAU
Long non-coding RNA from Cotesia glomerata, 1801 nucleotides. RefSeq lists it as uncharacterized. The record is from RefSeq and is a predicted model, not a curated record. Lineage: Eukaryota; Metazoa; Arthropoda; Insecta; Hymenoptera; Braconidae. The transcript has 3 exons.